UGCCGCGUGAGUGAAGAAGGCCACCGGGUUGUAAAGCUCUUUUGUCAGGGAAGAAACGGUGAGGGCUAAUAUCCUUUGCUAAUGACGGUACCUGAAGAAUAAGCACCGGCUAACUACGUGCCAGCAGCCGCGGUAAUACGUAGGGUGCAAGCGUUAAUCGGAAUUACUGGGCGUAAAGCGUGCGCAGGCGGUUAUGUAAGUCAGAUGUGAAAUCCCCGGGCUCAACCUGGGAAUGGCAUUUGAGACUGCAUGGCUAGAGUGUGUCAGAGGGGGGUAGAAUUCCACGUGUAGCAGUGAAAUGCGUAGAGAUGUGGAGGAAUACCGAUGGCGAAGGCAGCCCCCUGGGAUAACACUGACGCUCAUGCACGAAAGCGUGGGGAGCAAACAGGAUUAGAUACCCUGGUAGUCCACGCCCUAAACGAUGUCUACUAGUUGUCGGGACUUAAUUGUCUUGGUAACGCAGCUAACGCGUGAAGUAGACCGCCUGGGGAGUACGGUCGCAAGAUUAAAACUCAAAGGAAUUGACGGGGACCCGCACAAGCGGUGGAUGAUGUGGAUUAAUUCGAUGCAACGCGAAAAACCUUACCUACCUUGACAUGUACGGAACCUCUGAGAGAU
RNAcentral lists this ribosomal RNA (618 nucleotides) under Herminiimonas sp. Ri2Pt_4064. Its description in RNAcentral is "bacterial SSU rRNA". It matches the Rfam family "Bacterial small subunit ribosomal RNA", at positions 395 to 1007 of the family's 1533-position model. The record is from RNAcentral. Lineage: Bacteria; Pseudomonadati; Pseudomonadota; Betaproteobacteria; Burkholderiales; Oxalobacteraceae.